This is a long non-coding RNA of Phyllopteryx taeniolatus (common seadragon), 1210 nucleotides long. RefSeq lists it as uncharacterized. The transcript is spliced from 4 exons. Lineage: Eukaryota; Metazoa; Chordata; Actinopteri; Syngnathiformes; Syngnathidae. The record is from RefSeq and is a predicted model, not a curated record.
CAUUCAUAGAUACUUGUACUCCUGCACGUACCUGCAUUUUGUCCUUUUAGGGUCAUGAUUCAACCGUUGUGGAUGACAAAAAACAACAAAUGUUGGAGUGAUGAACCUUCAAAAAGGUUGCUGACCCCUGCAUCAGAGUGUGAGCGGAAUUUCCCCUUUAGUAAUUUAGAAGUGUUUGAGUAAAAAACAUUUAAAGUAACAAAUAAACAGAUGAAAACCUCACCUCAUUGGUGGAGGUUAUGUAUACUUCAGAGUGAAAGAGAAGCGAAUGUUGACAGCGGACCUGCAGGGGCCAUAAACCAUGUUUGACAAGCACAUACUGUAAUUCAGUUUGCAUGUGUUGAGGAAUGAAGGGCAGCCGUGUUCAGAUGUGUGUGCGAGCACGAGUGACAAGCUGCUGCACGUCGGCCAUCCGGCAACAACACGGAAGCCAAGUGUGAGGAUGAUUUACUUCUUCUUCCCUCUGCUCGCAAAGGCGCCUCUGCUAUUAUCCUGAUUAGGAGCAGCCCUCGGGGCAGUUAUUAGCGCAUUUGUAUUAAUUUCUCUGGAUCAUCCCAUUCUGACAGAGCAAGCCAAAGAAACUGCUCUCAAACCACUAGAAAAUGCAAUGCUCAGAAAUGUGAAUGCUGAGAGAUGCAGAGUUGAAGAAGAAACCUACAGAAGACUAGUGAAUAAUAAUGCUCCUUCUGGUGUGCACAAGUUGGCAAACAGGGACAUAAUGCUGUCAUGCAGACACAAACGAAGAAGGUUUUCACAACUACUACAUUGCUGUGCUCCAUGAAGCCUUCUGCAGUAUGACUGUGUUUCGAGUGACCCCGCCACCGCUACCUGGGGGCUCCUCCCUACUAUUUGCAAUAGGCAGCCGUGUUAAUGGCUGUAAGAACACGAGCGGCUGCAAGAACACGAACAGCUCUGACACGCCGCCCCAGUCACUUGGACCUGCCGCCACAGGGCAGGAGGAAGGCUGCUAACAUGAAUCUGCCUGGGAAUCUCUGAGCUGCAAGUCAGCGAGCUGACAGGAGAGCAGCAGAGAUAAGAAAGGGAGCCGGUUCACCUCAGCUCAACGUCAGAGACGAUAGGGGACUGGAUUUUUGGUGGCAUGUGUCAUGAGUUUAACGCCGAUGGCAACACGACAGGAACUUACUUACUGCAACCAACGGAUGGUUAAAAUUAGACAAACAGGUUAAUUAAAGAGCUGACGCAGUCUUCA